RNAcentral lists this ribosomal RNA (44 nucleotides) under Ditylum brightwellii. RNAcentral's name for it is "partial Eukaryotic large subunit ribosomal RNA". The record is from RNAcentral. Lineage: Eukaryota; Bacillariophyta; Thalassiosirophyceae; Lithodesmiales; Lithodesmiaceae.
UAUAUUGGCAAGUGAGGGGUGUUGUUAAUUUAUGCAAUGAUGAC